GUUCUGUUGUCAACCUCCUACAAGAAUCCUCUUCAGCUGAAUGUCAUCUUUGAUGCAUGUCACCACUUGAAUCAACAAGUGUCACUUCUGUUAUCAGCAAAGCCUAUUGCUCCAAGGUCCUGCUUCACAGAAAGAGAAACCACACGGUCAAGGCCACAGCUUCUAGAUGAGACAUCUGAAGCCCAGGAACCAAAUGAGCCGCUGAGAGUCAACUCGUGAAAGACACCCCCCUUCUGGAGAGCAACGACCACAUCGGUUGGAUUCCUUCAGCAUCAACUGCAAAGAUACCUCAGGGCCAAAGUAUGGGACAGGGAAGAUGCUCACUAGACUAG
Molecule: long non-coding RNA, 332 nt
Filed under: Mus spretus (western wild mouse)
Lineage: Eukaryota; Metazoa; Chordata; Mammalia; Rodentia; Muridae
Description: lncRNA (ENSMSPG00010026811.1)
Source: RNAcentral